RNAcentral lists this ribosomal RNA (372 nucleotides) under uncultured organism. Its description in RNAcentral is "bacterial SSU rRNA". It matches the Rfam family "Bacterial small subunit ribosomal RNA", at positions 526 to 896 of the family's 1533-position model. The record is from RNAcentral.
CGGGGGGGGCAAGCGUUGUUCGGAAUUACUGGGCGUAAAGGGCUCGUAGGCGGCCAACUAAGUCCGACGUGAAAUCCCCAGGCUCAACCUGGGAACUGCGUCGGAUACUGGAUGGCUUGAAUUCGGGAGAGGGAUGCAGAAUUCCAGGUGUAGCGGUGAAAUGCGUAGAUAUCUGGAGGAAUACCGGUGGCGAAGGCGGCAUCCUGGACCGACAUUGACGCUGAUGAGCGAAAGCUAGGGGAGCAAACGGGAUUAGAUACCCCGGUAGUCCUAGCCCUAAACGAUGAAUGCUUGGUGUGACGGGUAUCGAUCCCUGUCGUGCCGAAGCUAACGCAUUAAGCAUCCCGCCUGGGGAGUACGGUCGCAAGGCUG